AGAGUUUGAUCUUGGCUCAGGACGAACGCUGGCGGCGUGCCUAAUACAUGCAAGUCGAGCGAACUGAUUAAGAAGCUUGCUUCUUAUGACGUUAGCGGCGGACGGGUGAGUAACACGUGGGCAACCUGCCCUAUAGUUGGGGAUAACUCCGGGAAACCGGGGCUAAUACCGAAUGAUACAUUUUAACUCCUGUUAGAAUGUUGAAAGAUGGUUUACGCUGUCGCUAUAGGAUGGGCCCGCGGCGCAUUAGCUAGUUGGUGAGGUAACGGCUCACCAAGGCGACGAUGCGUAGCCGACCUGAGAGGGUGAUCGGCCACACUGGGACUGAGACACGGCCCAGACUCCUACGGGAGGCAGCAGUAGGGAAUCUUCCACAAUGGGCGAAAGCCUGAUGGAGCAACGCCGCGUGAGUGAAGAAGGUUUUCGGAUCGUAAAACUCUGUUGUAAGGGAAGAACAAGUACAGUAGUAACUGGCUGUACCUUGACGGUACCUUAUUAGAAAGCCACGGCUAACUACGUGCCAGCAGCCGCGGUAAUACGUAGGUGGCAAGCGUUGUCCGGAUUUAUUGGGCGUAAAGCGCGCGCAGGUGGUUUCUUAAGUCUGAUGUGAAAGCCCACGGCUCAACCGUGGAGGGUCAUUGGAAACUGAGAGACUUGAGUGCAGAAGAGGAAAGUGGAAUUCCAAGUGUAGCGGUGAAAUGCGUAGAGAUUUGGAGGAACACCAGUGGCGAAGGCGACUUUCUGGUCUGUAACUGACACUGAGGCGCGAAAGCGUGGGGAGCGAACAGGAUUAGAUACCCUGGUAGUCCAUGCCGUAAACGUUGGGCACUAGGUGUGGGGGACAUUCCACGUUUUCCGCGCCGUAGCUAACGCAUUAAGUGCCCCGCCUGGGGAGUACGGCCGCAAGGCUAAAACUCAAAGGAAUUGACGGGGGCCCGCACAAGCGGCGGAGCAUGCGGAUUAAUUCGAUGCAACGCGAAGAACCUUACCAAGGCUUGACAUGAACCGGUAAGACCUGGAAACAGGUCCCCCACUUGUGGCCGGUUUACAGGUGGUGCAUGGUUGUCGUCAGCUCGUGUCGUGAGAUGUUGGGUUAAGUCCCGCAACGAGCGCAACCCUCGUUCUAUGUUGCCAGCGCGUUAUGGCGGGGACUCAUAGGAGACUGCCGGGGUCAACUCGGAGGAAGGUGGGGACGACGUCAAAUCAUCAUGCCCCUUAUGUCUUGGGCUUCACGCAUGCUACAAUGGCCGGUACAAAGGGUUGCGAUACUGUGAGGUGGAGCUAAUCCCAAAAAGCCGGUCUCAGUUCGGAUUGAGGUCUGCAACUCGACCUCAUGAAGUUGGAGUCGCUAGUAAUCGCAGAUCAGCAACGCUGCGGUGAAUACGUUCCCGGGCCUUGCACUCACCGCCCGUCA
This 1414-nucleotide ribosomal RNA is filed under the name uncultured bacterium. RNAcentral describes it as "partial 16S ribosomal RNA". It matches the Rfam family "Bacterial small subunit ribosomal RNA". The record is from RNAcentral.